GGCUUUCCGCGUCCCUGCCGAGAUUUCGCCACAUAACAGCCCAUCAGAACUGAUGGGACUCGCAAAACAAGUAAUCG
RNAcentral lists this microRNA precursor (77 nucleotides) under Schistosoma mansoni. RNAcentral's name for it is "mir-3492 microRNA precursor family". It matches the Rfam family "mir-3492 microRNA precursor family". Lineage: Eukaryota; Metazoa; Platyhelminthes; Trematoda; Strigeidida; Schistosomatidae. The record is from Rfam by way of RNAcentral.